CCUACGGGUGGCAGCAGUGAGGAAUAUUGGUCAAUGGGCGGGAGCCUGAACCAGCCAAGUCGCGUGAGGGAAGACGGUCCUAUGGAUUGUAAACCUCUUUAGGCUGGGAGCAAUGCCGGGCACGCGUGCCCGGAGGGAGAGUACCCGCAGAAUAAGAUUCGGCUAACUCCGUCCCAGCAGCCGCGGUAAUACGGAGGAUGGGAGCGUUAUCCGGUUUUUUUGGGUUUAAAGGGGGCGUAGGCGGAUUUUUAAGUCAGCGGUAAAAUUUCCGGCCUAAACCUGGGCCGGCCGUUGAAACUGGGGAUCUUGAGUGCGCGAGAAGUAUGUGGAAUGCGUGGUGUAGCGGUGAAAUGCAUAGAUAUCACGCAGAACUCCGAUUGCGAAGGCAGCAUACCGGCGCCCGACUGACGCUGAGGCACGAAAGCGUGGGGAUCGAACAGGAUUAGAUACCCCUGUAGUC
This 460-nucleotide ribosomal RNA is filed under the name uncultured bacterium. RNAcentral describes it as "partial 16S ribosomal RNA". It matches the Rfam family "Bacterial small subunit ribosomal RNA", at positions 338 to 795 of the family's 1533-position model. The record is from RNAcentral.